This 274-nucleotide ribosomal RNA is filed under the name uncultured bacterium. RNAcentral's name for it is "partial 16S ribosomal RNA". It matches the Rfam family "Bacterial small subunit ribosomal RNA", at positions 523 to 796 of the family's 1533-position model. The record is from RNAcentral.
AUACGGAGGGUGCAAGCGUUAUUCGGAAUCACUGGGCGUAAAGGGUGCGUAGGCGGUUUGAUAAGUCUGAUGUGAAAUCCUAUGGCUCAACCAUAGAACUGCAUUGGAAACUGUCAAACUAGAAUACUGAAGGGGCAGAUGGAAUUAGUGGUGUAGGGGUAAAAUCCGUAGAUAUCACUAGGAAUACCGAAAGCGAAAGCGAUCUGCUGGGAAGUUAUUGACGCUGAGGCACGAAAGCGUGGGGAGCAAACGGGAUUAGAAACCCCUGUAGUCC